GACAUGUUGCCAAUCAGACCGAGUGCCAAAAACUUGAGCAAGCUGCAGGCCAAAACUACUAUUCGCAGAAUGGUACAUAGGGCGGUAGUAUCGCAGACUCAAAACGGAGUGCUAUUUAACUAAAAGCUAAAAAGCACCAACAGAAGCCAGUCGGCAAACUAAAACUCCCCUUCGCCAGAGACCGUUUUUCUUGCCUAUGCUCACAAAUGCAUCUGUCUUGCCCAAAAACCCGCAGACAUGCAGGGAAAAGGGAGAUGCAGGAUCCAAAAACUAAUCACCAAUUAGGGAUGGCAUAGAAGAUGAAUGCUAUUCAGUUAUUCAAUUUAAGCUGUAAAGAUUCUUUACGGGGAUAUGGACACUAAUAUCAGCAUAAUCUUCAAAGCUAACAAUUUUUUGAUUAGCUACGCAAACUCGGUUACUAAUGUACUUACAAUCACGCUCACAUCUCCAACUCAUUCGCACUCCAGCUCGCAGAUAACGUGGCCAAAAAAAAAAUAGCCCAGGCAAAAGAAAACCAGCAUAGAAAGACCAGCAUAGACCAAAGGAUAGGAGAGCGAAAAAAGGAGACUGGAAGAAAUUCGCAUUUGUCUUCAAUUACAUUGAAAUGUCACUCCCUACCUUCAUUCCUACAUUCU
This is a long non-coding RNA of Drosophila sechellia, 635 nucleotides long. RefSeq lists it as uncharacterized. The record is from RefSeq and is a predicted model, not a curated record. The transcript is spliced from 3 exons. Lineage: Eukaryota; Metazoa; Arthropoda; Insecta; Diptera; Drosophilidae.